GUUGGGGUUGGGGUCACCGUGGUGGUGGUGCUGAUGGGUGUCGUUGUUGGGGUCUGUGUGCCGGUGGGUGUUGGGGUUGGGGUCACCGUGGUGGUGGUGGUGAUGGGUGUCACCGUGGUGGUGGUGCUGAUGGGUGUCGUUGUUGGGGUCUGUGUGCCGGUGGGUGUUGGGGUUGGGGUCACCGUGGUGGUGGUGGUGAUGGGUGUCGUGGUUGGGGUCUGUGUGCCGGUGGGUGUUGGGGUUGGGGUCACCGUAGUGGUGGUGCUGAUGGGUGUCGAUGUUGGGGUCUGUGUGCCGGUGGGUGUUGGGGUUGGG
This 315-nucleotide long non-coding RNA is filed under the name Homo sapiens (human). RNAcentral's name for it is "HSALNT0360934". The record is from RNAcentral. Lineage: Eukaryota; Metazoa; Chordata; Mammalia; Primates; Hominidae.